AUCGCUUCUCGGCCUUUUGGCUAAGAUCAAGUGUAAGUAUCUGUUCUUAUCAGUUUUUAAUACCUGAUACGUCCUCCAUUCGAGGACUUUAUAUUAAACGGAUUUUUAGAGCGAGGAGCUGGAAGAGGGGGCUUGCUCCGUCCGCUCCACCAAUCGACCUGGUAUUGCAGUACCUCCAGGAACGGUGCACCUUUU
Molecule: small nuclear RNA, 195 nt
Organism: Ictalurus punctatus (channel catfish)
Lineage: Eukaryota; Metazoa; Chordata; Actinopteri; Siluriformes; Ictaluridae
Gene: U2
Rfam family: U2 spliceosomal RNA
About the family: U2 is a small nuclear RNA (snRNA) component of the spliceosome (involved in pre-mRNA splicing). Complementary binding between U2 snRNA (in an area lying towards the 5' end but 3' to hairpin I) and the branchpoint sequence (BPS) of the intron results the bulging out of an unpaired adenosine, on the BPS, which initiates a nucleophilic attack at the intronic 5' splice site, thus starting the first of two transesterification reactions that mediate splicing.
Source: Ensembl